CCUACGGGAGGCAGCAGUGGGGAAUAUUGGGCAAUGGGCGCAAGCCUGACCCAGCAACGCCGCGUGAAGGAAGAAGGCUUUCGGGUUGUAAACUUUUUUUAAGAGGGAAGAGCAGAAGACGGUACCUCUUGAAUAAGCCACGGCUAACUACGAGCCAGCAGCCGCGGUAAUACGUAGGUCGCAAGCGUUGUUCGGAUUUACUGUGUGUAAAGGGCGUGCAGAUGGGAAGACAAGUCAGAUGUGAAAUCCCGCGGCUAAACCGCCGAACUGCAUUUGAAACUGUUUUUCGUGAGUACCGUUGAGGUCAGCGGAAUUCCUUGUGUAGCGGUGAAAUGCGUAGAUAUAAGGAAGAACACCAGUGGCGAAGGCGGAUGACUGGACGGCAACUGACGGUGAGGCGCGAAAGCGUGGGGAGCAAACAGGAUUAGAUACCCUAGUAGUC
This 442-nucleotide ribosomal RNA is filed under the name uncultured bacterium. Its description in RNAcentral is "partial 16S ribosomal RNA". It matches the Rfam family "Bacterial small subunit ribosomal RNA", at positions 338 to 795 of the family's 1533-position model. The record is from RNAcentral.